This 218-nucleotide long non-coding RNA is filed under the name Lathyrus oleraceus (garden pea). RNAcentral's name for it is "Pisum sativum (pea) long non-coding RNA (PSAT_LNC031215)". Lineage: Eukaryota; Viridiplantae; Streptophyta; Magnoliopsida; Fabales; Fabaceae. The record is from RNAcentral.
UUUGUGUAGCUUCACGAAUAUGGUCAUUGUCUUACUUGGGUCUUAUUGAAUCAUUUCUAUAUUACAGAUAUAAAUGGCUAGUAACCAAGACGAUACCCAUGACGCGAGUGGAUCACGUAACAAUGUUGAAAAUGAAAUCAAACGAGGAUUGACUGUUAUGAAGUCAAUCAUUCGUGCAAGAGACAAGGGUGAAAAAUUCGAAGUACAUUGGAGUGUUG